Nothoprocta perdicaria is the source of this 845-nucleotide long non-coding RNA. RefSeq lists it as uncharacterized. NCBI's taxonomy places the organism in Eukaryota, Metazoa, Chordata, Aves, Tinamiformes, Tinamidae. The transcript has 2 exons. The record is from RefSeq and is a predicted model, not a curated record.
GCAGCUCCUGGGGCUCGCUCGGGCUCUGUGUCACUCCCUAACAGCUCCGUAUUGGAGCUGCCGGGCCUGGCACCUGAGCAGGGCCUGGCAGCGGCCGCUUGGGCUGGCCUGCUUAAAGCUGGGCUGAGGCAGGCGCGGGUGCAGGGUGGAGAGUGACGUGUGGUCUGUAAGGAGCGGGGCUGAACCUUCCCCCUCGCUCUCCCGGGCAGCCGGCACCGGGGCUGCACGCAGCUCUGUGCCGGCAACACAGCGAGCUGGUGGUUCUGAACUGCCUGCAGGAUGGCGAGCGGGACAGGGAGGUUCUGCAGAUCUGGGAUCUCCGGAUCUGCUUGGGAUGUCGCCGGCGGUGAAGGCGGAGGCAAGCGGCACGCUGGGCAGGAGGAGCACGCGAGGGGCGGCAGUGGCCGCUUCAACAUGGCAAAGCAGGGCAUGGGGCAGUGACUGAUACCUGCAGGGCUGGAAAACCCUACGACGUGCAGCCGUCCCUGCUGCUCCAAGAGGUGCUGAGGAAGCUGGCAAGAGCCUCAGGCCAAAGCACUGAGGAGGGGAGAACUGACACCGCAGCCUGAUGGAGGCAAAGGAGUUGAGGCCAGCCUUCUCCAGUGACAGAUAUUUGCCAAAUAGAUGGUAUUUUUGUGGAAUCUCUUCUUCAGCAAAGGCUCAAGAGAUGCCCUGGAAAAUCCGCUCCUUGUCAAGCCGUUACAGCCCUGCUCAACUGGGAAAGCUGAGGCAAGCUGAUCCCUACCUUCCUCCUUGGCCUCUUGCAAAUACUUCUUUCUCUUUUUUUGAGGCACCUUCUGUGCCUUUUGAAAACACUUUUUUGAUUGCCCAUGUAUAGAAAAGAA